UUUGUCCUACGGGACGCAGCAGUGAGGAAUAUUGGUCAAUGGGCGGAAGCCUGAACCAGCCAAGUCGCGUGAGGGAAUAAGGCCCUACGGGUCGUAAACCUCUUUUGCCGGGGAGCAAGGGCCGGGACGAGUCCCGGUCCGGAGAGUACCCGGAGAAAAAGCAUCGGCUAACUCCGUGCCAGCAGCCGCGGUAAUACGGAGGAUCCAAGCGUUAUCCGGAUUUAUUGGGUUUAAAGGGUGCGUAGGCGGAUUGAUAAGUUAGAGGUGAAAUGUCCGAGCUUAACUCGGGAACUGCCUCUAAUACU
RNAcentral lists this ribosomal RNA (305 nucleotides) under uncultured bacterium. Its description in RNAcentral is "bacterial SSU rRNA". It matches the Rfam family "Bacterial small subunit ribosomal RNA", at positions 333 to 634 of the family's 1533-position model. The record is from RNAcentral.